RNAcentral lists this ribosomal RNA (425 nucleotides) under uncultured archaeon. RNAcentral describes it as "partial 16S ribosomal RNA". The record is from RNAcentral.
UUUAAGUUUCAGCCUUGCGACCGUACUCCCCAGGCGGCGAGCUUAACGGCUUCCCUGCGACACUCCGAUCGCGAUUUGCGACCGGAUCAUCUAGCUCGCAUCGUUUACGGCUGGGACUACCCGGGUAUCUAAUCCGGUUCGCUCCCCCAGCUUUCAUCCCUCACCGUCGAGCGCGUUCUGGUAGACCGCCUUCGCCACUGGUGGUCUUCCACGGAUCAAAGGAUUUUACCCCUACACGUGGAGUACCGUCUACCUCUCCCGCCUCCUAGUCCCGCGGUAUCUCCUGCGGACCAACCGUUGAGCAGUUGGAUUUAGCAGGAGACCUACGGAACAGGCUACGGAUGCUUUAGGCCCAAUAAUCGCCCCGACCACUCGAGGAGCUGGUAUUACCGCGGCGGCUGACACCAGACUUGCCCUCCCCUUAU